Molecule: long non-coding RNA, 504 nt
Organism: Macrosteles quadrilineatus (aster leafhopper)
Lineage: Eukaryota; Metazoa; Arthropoda; Insecta; Hemiptera; Cicadellidae
Exons: 3
Source: RefSeq, a predicted model, not a curated record
GAUCUUGAUGGGCCAUCAGAAAUAAAUGAUAGUGAACAUGAAAGUCUUGCACGGCACGUCUAUGGUCAUGGAACUACCUCUGGAGAAUAACUGUUGUUCAUUUAGCUUGUAUUAUCAAGUGUUCUCUUGAAAUUUUCUCUAAGUCAAACUGGUAACCUUCUUAUUAUUAGGCUUGCACUGUGCACAUGUGACAGCCGUCCUGUUAGCAGAGUUGUGGUUGUAGUCAGCUGCUCAGCAAGGCAAUUAAGGGUCCAGGCCAGGUCAUUCUCACUGCUACAGGUCAUGGCUCUCCAGCAUAUCACUGGCCACCCCUCCACGACAGGAAGUGCUGUUGCUGUUUCGAAAGUGUGUGUGGGACCAUGUACAGUACCUGCACUGCAUUGUUCAUUCAAGACGGCAGAGGUAACCGGCGCCUCUACAUGUGAUGAGACCUGCCACUGUGCAGACCUACACAAAGACUACAAAUAAGAAGAUGGCUGAUAUAUUACAUAACAAAUUUUGCAA